Molecule: long non-coding RNA, 459 nt
Filed under: Numida meleagris (helmeted guineafowl)
Lineage: Eukaryota; Metazoa; Chordata; Aves; Galliformes; Numididae
Description: lncRNA (ENSNMEG00000022110.1)
Source: RNAcentral
AGAUAAGUCUCUGUGACUCCGUGGAGGUGGGAGCUACACUGACACUCCAUUUGGCUGGAAGUUUUCUCCAGUUAUACACAGAAUGAAUUAUAUACAGAAAACAGGAUGUUGUGGAAUGCAAGGGAUAAAAGAAGAAUGAAUGCAUAUGGGAAAGGCCUCCCACCUUUCCUUUUGGGUGUAUGGCUCCUUGCCUUCUCUUCCUGCAUGACUUCUUCAACCAGGCAGGACACAGCAGUUUGCAUCUUUCUUCAAGUGCCCAAGUCUCAGUCAGCCCAGGGCUCCUCUCUGGCUGAGGAUCUGGUGGCAAGCACUGAUCUGUUAAGUCAUGUUCACAAGCUCAACCAGUCUGUGAUUUCACAAGGUAGCUCAGAAGCAUCUUCUGAAGACUUGGGAAACUCCAUUAUGGCUAUACAAGUGAAACAGCGUGGAAAAAAAAUCGGAACUCUGCUCAUAACAUAG